RNAcentral lists this long non-coding RNA (301 nucleotides) under Marmota monax (woodchuck). Lineage: Eukaryota; Metazoa; Chordata; Mammalia; Rodentia; Sciuridae. The record is from RNAcentral.
CUUGGACCUUUUAAACACAAAUUUUAAACUCAACCAACCUGUGAUAAUUGGAAUGGUUAUUGUUUAUUUUGUGGUAUGUUUUUUGAUUACAGAAAACAAUGCCUUGUUUUCCAGUUGUCUUUGAGAAUGAAAGGGAAAAAAAAACUUCAGAUGAAAUGGUUUUGUGUAGCCUCUUGUCUAACAUGUUUUGUAAAUACUGGAGAAGCUUGACCAAUUUGACUUAGAGAUGGAAUGGAAUAUAACUUUGCUUACAAAAAUUGCUAUUUAUCUCCUGUUAAAGGUGUUUUGUUUUGAUCAGGUG